This 497-nucleotide ribosomal RNA is filed under the name uncultured bacterium. RNAcentral's name for it is "partial 16S ribosomal RNA". It matches the Rfam family "Bacterial small subunit ribosomal RNA", at positions 28 to 507 of the family's 1533-position model. The record is from RNAcentral.
GAUGAACGCUGGCGGCGUGCCUAAUACAUGCAAGUCGAGCGAACAGACGAGGAGCUUGCUCCUCUGACGUUAGCGGCGGACGGGUGAGUAACACGUGGAUAACCUACCUAUAAGACUGGGAUCACUUCGGGAAACCGGAGCUAAUACCGGAUAAUAUAUUGAACCGCAUGGUUCAAUAGUGAAAGACGGUUUUGCUGUCACUUAUAGAUGGAUCCGCGCCGCAUUAGCUAGUUGGUAAGGUAACGGCUUGCCAAGGCAACGAUGCGUAGCCGACCUGAGAGAGUGAUCGGCCACACUGGAGCUGAGACACGGUCCAGACUCCUACGGGAGGCAGCAGUAGGGAAUCUUCCGCAAUGGGCGAAAGCCUGACGGAGCAACGCCGCGUGAGUGAUGAAGGUCUUCGGAUCGUAAAACUCUGUUAUUAGGGAAGAACAAAUGUGUAAGUAACUAUGCACGUCUUGACGGUACCUAAUCAGAAAGCCACGGCUAACUACGUG